Molecule: non-coding RNA, 3001 nt
Organism: Myodes glareolus (Bank vole)
Lineage: Eukaryota; Metazoa; Chordata; Mammalia; Rodentia; Cricetidae
Source: RefSeq, a predicted model, not a curated record
CAAGAGUCCAUCACGUUAAAGAAACUGGAUUCCCCCACACAGAGCACCUUUCUAGGGACGAGCUUUCCAAUCAGCCCUCCCUGCUCUCCCAGCCAGUCUAACACUUCCACAAGAACUUGGAUUGAACCAAACAGCUGUUGAGUCAUGAAAUGACUCCGAAGGAUGCCUCCUAGUUUUUACUGAAAGCCGGAUUUGGUGUACUGAGCAAGAACUGAAGUAAAUUUGCUGUUAGAAGGAUGGUAGCUAUCUUACGUUGCUGUGUCGAGUGGUCUUUGGGUGACCCUGAGAACUUCUCAGAAAGAGAGCUCAGAGUAUAGCAUCUGCAGCUUCGAUCUGUUUGCCUCGUGUCAAUACAGAGGAGAAACCUUAAGGUCAGCAUGUGCUGGAACCGGACAGCUGCCCUGCUCUCUACGUGAACUAGGUUCUGAUGAACUCUCACUGGACAGCAAGCGUUGGUCAUGGAAAACACUCUGGGCAUGUUUCAAGUGUUAGCUCACUUUUCCUCGUGCCAAGGACACACGGCGAAUUUUCUUGGCUCCUGUCAUGAGAACCUGCUGGCAUCCUCUCUGCUAAACUUAAUGAAGCAGAGCUUCUCCACUCUCUCUUGACCUUCUAUAAACUUAGCUUCCUGAAAUCCUUCACAUUACCGUCUAGUCUAGGCGAGCCUUUUGGUGUCUCUAGUGAGCUCUGCCGCAGUGAGAAGAUCACAGCUGGCUCUUAGAACUGAAGGUUCGGGUGUGGGGUGGCAGUCCUCUCUGGUGACGCGGUACUCUGCCACAUCUAAGAAAAGCCACUGGUUUUCUGGUUUUCAGUUUUUCCAGAUACUUCUUUUUAAUGUCAUAACAAUAAGCGUGGUAGUUUCUAUCUUCCCAUAAGAGGCGGGCACUGAAACCGGAACAUAUUUGCAUCAUUUUGAACGUAACGUAUUUAAAAGGAGUGACACCGUGGUUACCAUCUGGUUGCUAGAUUAAAAUUUUGUGGUUAGGAAAAUAUUUUUGAAAGUACGAGGCUAAGCGAUCAACCCAUAAAACUUUGUGCAAAUGGACAAGUGUUCCAUGGAUAAAAAUCCCUUUAGCCAUCGGGAGGGCGGUAGCCAUAAAUCCGUUUUUCUUGCAGGCAAUUUUACCCUUUCAGCAGAUGAAGGCACAGUUAAAACGAAAUCCAUCAUCUGAGCAAACUCUUUCCCCACUUACUGCGUUAACUGAGGUGUGGCUAGAUUUUCUUAGGAAGACAUUCGUCUUCUGAGGGCCUGGGCUAGGGUUUGUGUUAAGCAGUCAAAGGCACUUACCUGGAAUUCAAAAUGUAAAAGAGACCAAAAGGGAAAUAUCUUAGUAAUGAAGACAAGUAAUACUCUAGGGCAGCAAUUGGAGAAAAAAAAGAUAAAUGAGUGGAGAAAAAUUCAUGAAGAGCAAAAUAUCACGGUGUGUUUGAACAAAGUCAGAAGAAGCAGUUCCAUGCUGGAACCAGAGGGCAGAACUCCAUCUUGCACUUUGUCCAUGCUUCCUUAAAUUUUGUACCCAUGAUAGUGUGCUAACUUCAGCCCAGCCGUGAGAAUAAAAGGUCUGGUCAUAAGACACUGAAAAGCACUUUCAGAUGCAUGUGAUAAAAAGGACAAUUAAGCGACGUUUGAUACAGGAAGGCUUCCAUACAGCUACUUGGAAAGUAUUGCCUAUUCCUUUUUCUCUUGUUUUUGGCUUUAAAUGAUAAAGCUGUUCUUUCACUCAGUAGGACUUUACAUUUGGAGGAAAGUGUUGAAGUGACAUGAAACACCUUUGUCUCCAGCAUAAGCACACACACAAACACACAUGGGGAACAGAAGAAGGCAGAGGGAGCGUGUGAAGCCCUGAGCGAAUGCGUGUUAUUGCCAUGGCCAGACCCCAGCCUCAGACCCAGAGGGAAUGCCCAGCCAUCCCUUCUGGUCAAUGUGUGGAUGUUGAUAGUGCAUGCAGAGAAUGCUCAGCAUGGAUUUCUCCCCUCUGGGUGUUUACAGCCUGAAGACUGUCUUAUACAGAGACUGUGCCACUGAAAUUAGCUGAACCUGUUUCUUUGAUCCACAUGUAUGCCCCGUCUCCUGUUAAUCUGAGUCUAAUAACCCCACCUCUAUGUUUAUCUAUCUGUAUCUAAUAACUCCGCCUCCUGUUUAUCUGUCUCUAAUAACCCCUCCUCCUUGACCAGCUCUAUGCAAUAGCUCUGCCUCUUCAUUCAACUGUAUUUAAUAAACACUGAGCUUCUGAGGUGCUGAGGUUUCUCCAUCAAAGAGCUUAGUCUACCUGGCCUAGCUUCUCUCUCUCUCUCUCUCUCUCUCUCUCUCUCUGUGUGUGUGUGUGUGUGUGUGUGUGUGUGUGUGUGUGUGUGUCCAUGUGUCUGUUUCUGCAUUCCCUUGCUACCCAGUCAGACCCAUUCCUGGAGUCUUGCUGAUCUCACACAUGUGCAGAUACACACACACACGCACACACAUGUUUGUGGGUAGGGAUGGUAGAUAAGGAAAAUCAACGUUUCUACUCUAAGAAUCUUUCUGUGGCUGUCUACAAUUAGGCAUCCGGUCUUCCCAUGACUUUGAACUCUGAGGUCACUCGAUCACUCUUGCUUUCUCAAGCUGUUUCUACCCUGAAAUAUCUGCCUUUAAAAAAAUGUGCAUGUGUGUAUACAUAGAUAUGUAUACACAUAUGUCUUUACUUUUUAAACUUUAAACACUUAAGGUCUACAACAUAGCAUCUUGAUAUAUGUCAUUAUGAUUUCUCCCAUCAGAAACAUCCUCCCAGACCCCCUUCUUUACACAAUAGCGCACCUGAGAUGCCUUCCCUUACCAUGUCUGUCUGAUCCUCUCUUCAUAGCUAAAGAGGCUUGAAUUUAUAUUCAAAUGCCAUUUUUUUCUAAUAAGAAGAAAGCUGUCUUUUAAGUACCACUGUCUUUUAGGGAAAUAUAGAGGUAUAUUUAAAUGUAUUGUCUGUGUCUAUUUUUAUCGCUUAUAUAAAUCCGUACCCUUCCACUGCAUAUACAG